AGAACGAACGCUGGCGGCAUGCCUAACACAUGCAAGUCGAACGAGACCUUCGGGUCUAGUGGCGCACGGGUGCGUAACGCGUGGGAAUCUGCCCUUGGGUUCGGAAUAACAGCGAGAAAUUGCUGCUAAUACCGGAUGAUGACGUAAGUCCAAAGAUUUAUCGCCCAAGGAUGACGCCCGCGUAGGAUUAGUCUUGUUGGUGAGGUAAGAGCUCACCAAGGCGACGAUCCUAGCUGGUCUGAGAGGAUGAUCAGCCACACGUGGGACUGACGACCGACCGGCCCAGACCUCCGUACGGGA
This 300-nucleotide ribosomal RNA is filed under the name uncultured soil bacterium. RNAcentral's name for it is "bacterial SSU rRNA". It matches the Rfam family "Bacterial small subunit ribosomal RNA", at positions 26 to 346 of the family's 1533-position model. The record is from RNAcentral.